GACGAACGCUAGCGGCGUGCCUAAUACAUGCAAGUAGAACGCACAGUUUAUACCGUAGCUUGCUACACCAUAAACUGUGAGUUGCGAACGGGUGAGUAACGCGUAGGUAACCUGCCUGGUAGCGGGGGAUAACUAUUGGAAACGAUAGCUAAUACCGCAUAAUAUUAAUUAUUGCAUGAUAAUUGAUUGAAAGAUGCAAUUGCAUCACUACCAGAUGGACCUGCGUUGUAUUAGCUAGUAGGUGAGGUAACGGCUCACCUAGGCGACGAUACAUAGCCGACCUGAGAGGGUGAUCGGCCACACUGGGACUGAGACACGGCCCAGACUCCUACGGGAGGCAGCAGUAGGGAAUCUUCGGCAAUGGACGAAAGUCUGACCGAGCAACGCCGCGUGAGUGAAGAAGGUUUUCGGAUCGUAAAGCUCUGUUGUAAGAGAAGAACGGGUGUGAGAGUGGAAAGUUCACACUGUGACGGUAUCUUACCAGAAAGGGACGGCUAACUACGUG
Molecule: ribosomal RNA, 505 nt
Filed under: uncultured bacterium
Lineage: Bacteria
Description: partial 16S ribosomal RNA
Rfam family: Bacterial small subunit ribosomal RNA
Source: RNAcentral